Molecule: ribosomal RNA, 744 nt
Filed under: uncultured Actinomyces sp.
Lineage: Bacteria; Bacillati; Actinomycetota; Actinomycetes; Actinomycetales; Actinomycetaceae
Description: bacterial SSU rRNA
Rfam family: Bacterial small subunit ribosomal RNA
Source: RNAcentral
GACGAACGCUGGCGGCGUGCUUAACACAUGCAAGUCGAACGCUGAAGCCCAGCUUGCUGGGUGGAUGAGUGGCGAACGGGUGAGUAACACGUGAGUAACCUGCCCCCUUCUUUGGGAUAACGCCCGGAAACGGGUGCUAAUACUGGAUAUUCACUGGCCUUCGCAUGGGGGUUGGUGGAAAGGUUUUUUCUGGUGGGGGAUGGGCUCGCGGCCUAUCAGCUUGUUGGUGGGGUGAUGGCCUACCAAGGCUUUGACGGGUAGCCGGCCUGAGAGGGUGACCGGUCACAUUGGGACUGAGAUACGGCCCAGACUCCUACGGGAGGCAGCAGUGGGGAAUAUUGCACAAUGGGCGAAAGCCUGAUGCAGCGACGCCGCAUGAGGGAUGACGGCCUUCGGGUUGUAAACCUCUUUCGCUCAUGGUCAAGCCGCAGCUUUGGGUUGUGGUGAGGGUAGUGGGUAAAGAAGCGCCGGCUAACUACGUGCCACCAGCCGCGGUAAUACGUAGGGCGCGAGCGUUGUCCGGAAUUAUUGGGCGUAGAGGGGUUGUAGGCGGUUUGUCGCGUCUGCCCUGAAAUCCUCUGAGGUAACUGGGGGGCGUGCGGUGGGUACUCCCACGCUUGAGUGCGGAAGGGAGACUGGGGCUCCUGGUGUGACGGUGUAAUACCAGAUAUCACACGAACAGCGGGGCGAAAAGUGGGUGUUUGGGGGGUACUGCGCUCAGAGCGGCAGCGUGGGGGAGACAAG